UGAAGAAGAGAAAACAGGAAUAUGAAGAUGAAGAAGAGGACAUAAAACCUAAGAAGACAAAAGACAAGAAAGCUGGAGCGGAAUCCAAGAAAGUCAAGAAGGAACCAGAAGAGAAAUGGAAAUGGUGAGAUGUUUGUGAGGAUUGGUUGACUCCUGCAGAUCAUCACAGUUCUGUCCUUGAGCAAGACAGGUGGGAGGAGGAGAGGGCCACUGACGGCUCCAAAUGGAGGUUUCUGGAACACAAGGGACCUGUUCUUGCUCCUCCAUAUGAACCACUUCCUGGCCAUGUCAGAUUUUUUUACGAUGCAAACACCGUUCCGGUUCCUUGUUGCACAACUCCCUUUGUACUACUCUGACACUGCCUUGCAAAGUCUGAUAAUGGAAGUUUUCAGUUG
Molecule: long non-coding RNA, 395 nt
Organism: Esox lucius (northern pike)
Lineage: Eukaryota; Metazoa; Chordata; Actinopteri; Esociformes; Esocidae
Exons: 4
Source: RefSeq, a predicted model, not a curated record